Molecule: long non-coding RNA, 3246 nt
Filed under: Sus scrofa (pig)
Lineage: Eukaryota; Metazoa; Chordata; Mammalia; Artiodactyla; Suidae
Description: lncRNA (ENSSSCG00000052124.1)
Source: RNAcentral
AAGAAGACAUGCAGAUGGCCAAUGGGCACAUUAAAAAGAUGCUCAACAUCAUUAAUUAUUAGAGAAAUGCAAAUCAAAUGAGAUAUCACCUCACACUUGUUAGAAUGACUAUUAUCAAAAAGACAAGGAAUAACAAAUGUUGGAGAGGAUGUGGAUAAAAGGGAUCCCUCCUACACUGUUGGUGGGACUGUAAAUUUGCUCAUUCACCAUGGAAAACAGUAUGAUGAUUCCUCAAAAAGUUAGGAAUAAAACUGCCACAUGAUCUAGCUAUUACACUUCUUACUAUCUAUCUGAAGAACACAAAAACACUAAUUCAAAAAAUGCAUAUGCACCCCUUUGUCAAUUGUGGCAUUUAUUGUUUAGAAAAACAUAUAUAUGAGUUCAAAGUUUAAACUCUGGAAAUAAUCUGAUAGGGAAAAGGGGAUUAUGAUAUGGAAGAGUACUUCUGGGACUUUCAACUCUAUUUGUACUCUUGCUUUUUUUGUAAUUAGGAGAUGAGUUCAUGAGUGUUGGCUUGAUUAUUUUUGUACUUUUGCGCAUGACAAAUAUUUCACUAGAAAAUGUUGUUAUGAAAAAGAGUGAAUGGACAAUGUUAACAUCCCUCAAAAUAAAUGUUAGCCAAUGCUAUAUUCUUCUUCAGUGCUUGUUUAAUAAUCUCCCAGAGUAUUAGUAUUUCCUUUUAACAAAUAUGUUCAAACUCAUUGCAAUACCUUAAAAAAAGAGAGAGAAAAAUAAAUGGGGUUAAAUAGUUUUCUCUCUCAACCAUGAGCAAGUCAAAGGAUAUUACAAUUUUAUUCAUUCAGCAUUAUGUGUAUUUUAUAAUACAUAUAUGAGUAUAUGUAAUACAUAUAUGAACAUAUAUAGUACAUGCCUACAUAUAGGUAUAAAACUACAUAGCUCCAGGCAAUUGUGGAAAUAAAAUUCACAUCCAUCUCUUUCCAGGAUAAUGAUGCAUUUAAAGUUCUUACAAGCACAAACAUUUAACAUGUGUGAAUUUUGACAAAUUAAAUUCCCUCCUCUACAACAAUCAUAAACAUACUCCCCCUUAUAUAACAGAGUUAUUCUUUGAGAAAAUUGUAGAUCCAUUGAGCAAUCUAUUAGGAAGAGGCUGACUACAGAGUGGAUUUAGAAUCCAGAAUACUGAGCACAAUUCUAGCCCCACCAUUCCCUGAGGGUGUGAUCCCAGGCAAGUAAUCCCACCUGUAAGUCUAUAAAAUGAGGAUAACAACAGUAUCACCCUUGCUAUAUUAUCAUGAGGCUUAAAGGAGGAUAUACAGGAAAGUGCUUUGUAAAUCUUACACUUGUUGUGCCAAAAAUAGUAACUCAUUUCUAUUGCCAGUUGAAGGCAAGGGAUACUUACCACAUGAAACUUGCCUUAAGGAAAUAAGUGAAGUGCUCUGGUGGAGGAGGCAAGAUUAACGAUUAACACUGGAAGCAAUAGCAUGCAUUUGAAAACAAGAAAGAAGGAAAGAGAGAGAGAGAGAGAGAGAGAGAGAGAGAGAGAGAGAAAGAAAGAGAAAGAAAGAAAGAAAGAAAGAAAGAAAGAAAGAAAGAAAGAAAGAAAGAAAGAAAGAAAGAAAGAAAGAAAGAAAAGAAGGAAAGAAAGAAAGAAAAAGAAAGAAAUGCAGGUUGAAUUAUGCAGUUGAGACUCUCAGGACUGCAGGGGGCUUCAGUGAGGGUCAGGGUCUGGGAUGAUGAAUGGCUUUCUCUAGGCAUGGAAGCAUGGUGUGUAGAUCAGUGGAGGGCGUGGAGAGGGUGUUCUAGGUAAGGAGAAGAGAAUACAGUCUAUUUGCAAAAUAGCAAUGAUAGGCUUAAUUUAUCCAACAUGGUUAGGAUCUUUUCACUGAACUUCCAAUCAUGGUUCUUAUUAAGUGUGGACGGCUUUCUUGCUCCUGUAGGUUAACCUAACUUUAAAGUUAUGUGAAAAAAGGACUUGGGAAACAGCAAGAACUGAUACUUACAACUGCAAUUACAAUGGCAACAACAUUUCACUAGUUCUCAUCCAGGUGCAGGGAUCUGGCCCUUAGCAGCUGUUUUAUUAGGUUCUCAGCAUCUUGUCUAGAGCCUUGUCCGCAGUUAUUUGAUCACCAUGAAAGAUGACUGUGAGAAAUCUCAUCUUUGCUUUGUAAACACCCCAGAAUUUAAAUUUACUGUUUCUAAAUCUAACACACAAAUGGACCACCAAAGGUGGUAUGAUAUUCUUCUUGAAUCAGCAUAGCUUACUAGACCUUGAGACAGGUAUCUUGGCUAAAAUUUCUUCUACUUUAUUUGCUCUCUAUUGUUUUGAACAAUUCUCUUUAAUUGUUUGUUUGGAUCUACACAGAAUGUUAGAUUGAAAUAACUACUAGCGGUGCCCACUGGAUCCCGCUCAAGAGUAAUGUAGACCAAGAAUCCAUACAUAAUAUAAGACCAUGUGGCUAAAAAAUGUUGAGAUUUCAAUAACAUGAAAACUGUUAAUGCUGAGAUUCCUGUUUGUAAGUGAAAUGUGCUGUCAUCGCACCUCUCUCAUUAAACGGUGAUGUGAUACUUGUUUCUACAUAAGCAGUCACUACUUUGUUGAAGAUAAGACAGUAUUGAAAUUUAAGAUAACUAGUGCUUAAAUAAAAUCAAUCCUAUUGAUAGGUUUAGAAACAAAAAGCCUCACAUUUAUAUUACUGCCUUCUUUUUGUCACAGGAGGGGAGGCGGGAGGAGCUAGUGUGUAUGAAGAAGGGAUUGUUUUUUGUGGAGACAAGCCUAGUAUUUCAGGGAAAUAAGAAAGUAAUAACAGAUGUAAAGUUAAGGUGAGAAAUGGCACACACUUCUCCCUCCUUCCUGCUUCCCACUUCAAGUUACAUUCCAUCUGGAAGACUUUAGACCUUUCCCCAACAUUUUAGUUACUGAAAAUUAACCUGGAAAUUUUAGUCUGCUUGCCCUCUGUUCGGGGCACUAAGAAUUAAGCCUUUCUUAGUAAGUUCCUGUGAUUUACUUACAUAGUUAAAACUAACCAUAAUUCAAGCACCUCACAGUACAUUAUAGGUCAAAAUACAUCACCUAAUUCAAAUUUAUACUUAAAAAAAAUGAUGCUGCCCACCUCACCUCACUUCUACCACCCACCCAGCUAGUUUUACUUCCUUCUGCCUUCUCCAGUCCUUCAAGGUUGGAACCAUGAGUUCCCUUGUGGAGCAGUGGUUUAAGGAUCUAGCAUUGUCACUGCAGUGACUUGGGUCUGGUUUGAUCCCUGGAAUUUUCUUAUGAAGUGGACACUG